UCUUCCUGGACUGGAGACUCGGGCGGAUCCAACUCUACCUGAACCGGGUACACGGGUUGUUCCACUUCAGAGGGUAAGUACAUCAUUCUCCCUUCUCGUGCUUCAGUCCCUAAUUCCCCAUUUUCAGUCCCAUAUCGUGCCUCAAUCCCUAACCCUUGACUUCUUCUUUCCCAAUUCCUUUUUCAUUUCCACGCUCAUCUCCUCCGACUGUGACAAUACCCGCCGCUAGAAACGAUCCUUGUCCCCAAGGAUCAAAGCCUGGAAACUGGCCUCUGAGGACAAUAUAAUCUUCCCACGUAUCACUGGUUUAAUCGAUGUUUGUCCAUCACACCAACAAUUGCGUGACAGGAGGAUCCAUUGAAGACACUGCUGAGUCACCAACGUGUUUCUUCAGGAGACUCACAUGAAAAACUGGAUGCAAUCGUGAUGAAUCUGGGCCAGUGAAGUUUGGCGAUAUGGUUGCAACUUCAGGUUAUUGGGCCACAUGACUUGAGCUGCUCCAACUCUUCCUGGACUGAAGACUCGGGCAAAUCCAACUCUACCUAAACCGGGUACACAGGUUGCUCCACAUAAGAGGGUAAGUACAUCAUUCCCCCUUCUCGUGCUUCAAUCCCUAAUUCCCCAUUUUCAAUCUCAUCUCGUGCCUCAAUCCCCAACCCUUGACUUCUUCUUUCCCCAAUUCCUCAUUUUCAAUCCCAUCUCGUGCCUCAAUCCCCAACCCUUGACUUCUUCUUUCCCCAAUUCCUUCUUCAUUUCCACGCUCAUAUCCUCCGACUGUGACACACACCUCUUGGACAAUUGAAUGGCAUUCCCACCAACUCCAGUAAAAGAGUCAACAACAAU
This is a long non-coding RNA of Hibiscus syriacus, 843 nucleotides long. RefSeq lists it as uncharacterized. The transcript has 4 exons. The record is from RefSeq and is a predicted model, not a curated record. Lineage: Eukaryota; Viridiplantae; Streptophyta; Magnoliopsida; Malvales; Malvaceae.